This 132-nucleotide ribosomal RNA is filed under the name uncultured bacterium. RNAcentral's name for it is "partial 16S ribosomal RNA". It matches the Rfam family "Bacterial small subunit ribosomal RNA", at positions 356 to 504 of the family's 1533-position model. The record is from RNAcentral.
GGGGAAUAUUGCACAAUGGGGGAAAGCCCUGAUGCAGCGACGCCGCGUGAGUGAAGAAGUAUUUCGGUAUGUAAAGCUCUAUCAGCAGGGAAGAUAAUGACGGUACCUGAGUAAGAAGCCCCGGCUAACUAC